GCGCGAAAACUUUACAAUGCUGGCAACAGCGAUAAGGGAACCUCGAGUGCCAGGUUACAAAUCUGGCUGUCGAGAUGCCUAAAAAGCAUUUCAUAGCAAGGGCCGGGCAAGACCGGUGCCAGCCGCCGCGGUAACACCGGCGGCUCGAGUGGUAACCGUUAUUAUUGGGUCUAAAGGGUCUGUAGCCGGCCGGAUAAGUCUCUUGAGAAAUCUGGCAGCUUAACUGUCAGUCGUUCAGGAGAUACUGUCUGGCUCGAGGCCGGGAGAGGUGAGAGGUACUUCAGGGGUAGGGGUGAAAUCUUGUAAUCCUUGAAGGACCACCAGUGGCGAAGGCGUCUCACCAGAACGGACCUGACGGCAAGGGACGAAAGCUAGGGGCACGAACC
RNAcentral lists this ribosomal RNA (386 nucleotides) under uncultured prokaryote. RNAcentral describes it as "bacterial SSU rRNA". It matches the Rfam family "Archaeal small subunit ribosomal RNA", at positions 339 to 725 of the family's 1478-position model. The record is from RNAcentral.